This 164-nucleotide ribosomal RNA is filed under the name Solanum obliquum. Its description in RNAcentral is "5.8S ribosomal RNA". It matches the Rfam family "5.8S ribosomal RNA". From Rfam's summary of the family: 5.8S ribosomal RNA (5.8S rRNA) is a component of the large subunit of the eukaryotic ribosome. The record is from RNAcentral. Lineage: Eukaryota; Viridiplantae; Streptophyta; Magnoliopsida; Solanales; Solanaceae.
GAAACGACUCUCGGYAWCGGAUAUCUCGGCUCUCGCAUCGAUGAAGAACGYAGCGAAAUGCGAUACUUGGUGUGAAUUGCAGAAUCCCGUGAACCAUCGAGUYUUUGAACGCAAGUUGCGCCCGAAGCCGUUAGGCCGAGGGCACGUCUGCCUGGGCGUCACGC